GCGGAAGGCUGGAUGGCCGCUUCGUGAUCCGAUUGCCGGAUCCACGGGGAGGAAAGUCCGGACUCCAAAAAGAGACGGUGCCGGGUAACACCCGGGCGGGGCAACCCGACGGAAAGCGCCACAGAAAUGAUACCGCCACGCCACAGGUCGGGAAACCGAAACCACGGCGGGGUAAGGGUGAAAAGGUGGGGUAAGGGCCCACCGCGCCGCUGGCAACAGGGGCGGCAUGGCAAGCCCCACCGGGAGCAAUGCCAAAUAGGGACCGCGCGCCACCGGCCUUCGGGCCGGGGCGGGGCCGCUUUUGCCCCAGCAGGUCCGGGUUGGCAGCUGUAGCCCUGCGGGCAAUCGCAGGGUCAGAGGAAUGGUCAUCCACGGGGGAUAGCCCCCCGUGACAAAAUCCGGCUUACAGGCCUUCCGCGCGU
RNAcentral lists this RNase P RNA (422 nucleotides) under Sulfitobacter sp. G21635-S1. RNAcentral describes it as "RNase P RNA component class A". It matches the Rfam family "Bacterial RNase P class A". From Rfam's summary of the family: Ribonuclease P (RNase P) is a ubiquitous endoribonuclease, found in archaea, bacteria and eukarya as well as chloroplasts and mitochondria. Its best characterised activity is the generation of mature 5'-ends of tRNAs by cleaving the 5'-leader elements of precursor-tRNAs. Lineage: Bacteria; Pseudomonadati; Pseudomonadota; Alphaproteobacteria; Rhodobacterales; Roseobacteraceae. The record is from RNAcentral.